This 253-nucleotide ribosomal RNA is filed under the name uncultured bacterium. RNAcentral's name for it is "partial 16S ribosomal RNA". It matches the Rfam family "Bacterial small subunit ribosomal RNA", at positions 524 to 776 of the family's 1533-position model. The record is from RNAcentral.
UACAGAGACGUCGAGCGUUGUUCGGAUUCAUUGGGCGUAAAGGGUGCGCAGGCGGUCCGGUAAGUCGGGUGUGAAAUCUCGAGGCUUAACCUCGAUGGGUCAUUCGAAACUGCCGGGCUUGAGGACUGGAGAGGAGACUGGAAUGGCUGGUGUAGCGGUGAAAUGCGUAGAGAUCAGCCAGAACACCGGUGGCGAAGGCGAGUCUCUGGACAGUUCCUGACGCUGAGGCACGAAAGCCAGGGGAGCAAACGGG